This 198-nucleotide ribosomal RNA is filed under the name uncultured bacterium. RNAcentral's name for it is "partial 16S ribosomal RNA". It matches the Rfam family "Bacterial small subunit ribosomal RNA", at positions 328 to 539 of the family's 1533-position model. The record is from RNAcentral.
ACGCUCGACACCUACUGGAGGCAGCAGUGGGGAAUAUUGCACAAUGGGGGAAACCCUGAUGCAGCGACGCCGCGUGAAGGAAGAAGUAUUUCGGUAUGUAAACUUCUAUCAGCAGGGAAGAAAAUGACGGUACCUGAGUAAGAAGCACCGGCUAAAUACGUGCCAGCAGCCGCGGUAAUCUGAGCGGGCUGGCAAGGC